CCCUUAGAUGUCCUGGGCCGCACGCGCGCUACACUGAUGCAUGCAACGAGUUUAUAACCUUGGCCUGAAAGGUCUGGGUAAUCUUUUGAACGAGCAUCGUGAUAGGGAUAGAUUAUUGCAAUUGUUAAUCUUGAACGAGGAAUUCCUAGUAAACGCGAGUCAUCAGCUCGCAUUGAUUACGUCCCUGCCCUUUGUACACACCGCCCGUCGCACCUACCGAUUGAAUGGUUCGGUGAAGAUCUCGGACUUCGAUAUUUAUUCUUUAUUGAGUUUAUAUUGUGGGAAGUUAUCUAAACCUCAUCAUUUAGAGGAAGGUGAAGUCGUAACA
RNAcentral lists this ribosomal RNA (328 nucleotides) under uncultured eukaryote. RNAcentral's name for it is "partial 18S ribosomal RNA". It matches the Rfam family "Eukaryotic small subunit ribosomal RNA", at positions 1470 to 1796 of the family's 1831-position model. The record is from RNAcentral.